This 346-nucleotide long non-coding RNA is filed under the name Equus caballus (horse). RNAcentral's name for it is "lncRNA (ENSECAG00000041446.2)". The record is from RNAcentral. Lineage: Eukaryota; Metazoa; Chordata; Mammalia; Perissodactyla; Equidae.
AUGAUGUGAUAGGAGAGAGAAGGAAGAAUUGUACGAUUGCAGUUUCCUUCUACUAGGCAGGCUGCCUGGAGGAGGAGAUUGAGAAUGCAAUCUUGGAGGUUGCAGGUAUAAAGGGCAAUGAACAGGAUGAAAAAUGUUUCUGGAGUUAAGCUGGUGAUCUUGCAGCUCCAGAAUGGACAGAAAACAUGGGAAAUAUGUUGUGAAUAUUGAACCCUCUGGAAACCAGCCGCCAUUUCUGAACCCAAGAAACCAUGAAGCUCGUAGUUCAGCAUGUUGGUUUCCAACAUCAACUGAUGCAACUGGUGAUGUUGGUGUGAAUUUAACUGGUGUCUGCACAAACACAGGG